Molecule: ribosomal RNA, 300 nt
Filed under: Streptomyces cyaneus
Lineage: Bacteria; Bacillati; Actinomycetota; Actinomycetes; Kitasatosporales; Streptomycetaceae
Description: bacterial SSU rRNA
Rfam family: Bacterial small subunit ribosomal RNA
Source: RNAcentral
AUGCCCUUCGGGGUGAUGGGGACUCACAGGAGACCGCCGGGGUCAACUCGGAGGAAGGUGGGGACGACGUCAAGUCAUCAUGCCCCUUAUGUCUUGGGCUGCACACGUGCUACAAUGGCAGGUACAAUGAGCUGCGAAGCCGUGAGGUGGAGCGAAUCUCAAAAAGCCUGUCUCAGUUCGGAUUGGGGUCUGCAACUCGACCCCAUGAAGUCGGAGUUGCUAGUAAUCGCAGAUCAGCAAUGCUGCGGUGAAUACGUUCCCGGGCCUUGUACACACCGCCCGUCACGUCACGAAAGUCGG